GACGAACGCUGGCGGCGUGCUUAACACAUGCAAGUCGAACGGUAAGGCCCUUCGGGGUACACGAGUGGCGAACGGGUGAGUAACACGUGGGUGAUCUGCCCUGCACUUCGGGACAAGCCUGGGAAACUGGGUCUAAUACCGGAUAGGACCACUGCCUGCAUGGGUGGUGGUGGAAAGCUUUUGCGGUGUGGGAUGGGCCCGCGGCCUAUCAGCUUGUGGGUGGGGUGAUGGCCUACCAAGGCGACGACGGGUAGCCGGCCUGAGGGGGUGACCGGCCACACUGGGACUGAGAUACGGCCCUGACUCCUACGGGAGGCAGCAGUGGGGAAUAUUGCACGAUGGGCGCAAGCCUGAUGCAGCGACGCCGCGUGAGGGAUGACGGCCUUCGGGUUGUAAACCUCUUUCAGCACCGACGAAGCGCAAGUGACAGUAGGUGCAGAAGAAGGACCGGCCAACUACGUGCCAGCCGCCGCGGUAA
RNAcentral lists this ribosomal RNA (478 nucleotides) under uncultured bacterium. RNAcentral's name for it is "partial 16S ribosomal RNA". It matches the Rfam family "Bacterial small subunit ribosomal RNA", at positions 28 to 523 of the family's 1533-position model. The record is from RNAcentral.